AGCAGCCGCGGUAAUUCCAGCUCCAAUAGCGUAUAUUAAAGUUGUUGCAGUUAAAAAGCUCGUAGUUGAAUUUUGGGUCUGGCCGGGCGGUCCGCCCUCUGGGUGAGCACUGUUCCGACGUCGGGCCUAUCCUUCUGGUGAGUCGGCAUGUCCUUUAUUGGGUGUGUCGGGGAACCAGGACCAUUACCUUGAAAAAUUAGAGUGUUCAAAGCAGGCGUAUGCUCGGAUACAUUAGCAUGGAAUAAUGAAAUAGGACGCGUGGUGCUAUUUUGUUGGUUUCUAGAACCGCCGUAAUGAUUAAUAGGGAUAGUUGGGGGCAUUAGUAUUCAAUUGUCAGAGGUGAAAUUCUUGGAUUUAUUGAAGACUAACUUCUGCGAAAGCAUUUGCCAAGGAUGUUUUCAUUAAUCAAGAACGAAAGUUAGGGGAUCGAAGACGAUCAGAUACCGUCGU
Molecule: ribosomal RNA, 450 nt
Filed under: uncultured Ambispora
Lineage: Eukaryota; Fungi; Glomeromycota; Glomeromycetes; Archaeosporales; Ambisporaceae
Description: SSU rRNA
Rfam family: Eukaryotic small subunit ribosomal RNA
Source: RNAcentral